Molecule: ribosomal RNA, 717 nt
Filed under: uncultured bacterium
Lineage: Bacteria
Description: bacterial SSU rRNA
Rfam family: Bacterial small subunit ribosomal RNA
Source: RNAcentral
AGAGUUUGAUCAUGGCUCAGGAUGAACGCUGGCGGCGUGCUUAACACAUGCAAGUCGAACGCUGAAGCUCCCAGCUUGCUGGGGGUGGAUGAGUGGCGAACGGGUGAGUAUCACGUGAGUAACCUGCCCUUGACUCUGGGAUAAGCCCGGGAAACUGGGUCUAAUACUGGAUAGGACUGGCCAUCGCAUGGUGGUUGGUUGAAAGCUUUUGCGGUUUUGGAUGGACUCGCGGCCUAUCAGCUUGUUGGUGGGGUAAUGGCCUACCAAGGCUUUGACGGGUAGCCGGCCUGAGAGGGUGACCGGCCACACUGGGACUGAGACACGGCCCAGACUCCUACGGGAGGCAGCAGUGGGGGAUAUUGCACAAUGGGCGCAAGCCUGAUGCAGCGACGCCGCGUGAGGGAUGACGGCCUUCGGGUUGUAAACCUCUUUCAGUUGGGAAGAAGCCUUUCGGGGUGACGGUACCUUCAGAAGAAGCACCGGCUAACUACGUGCCAGCAGCCGCGGUAAUACGUAGGGUGCGAGCGUUAUCCGGAAUUAUUGGGCGUAAAGAGCUCGUAGGCGGUUUGUCACGUCUGCUGUGAAAGCUCGGGGCUUAACUCCGAGUGUGCAGUGGGUACGGGCAGGCUGGAGUGCAGUAGGGGAGACUGGAAUUCCUGGUGUAGCGGUGAAAUGCGCAGAUAUCAGGAGGAACACCGAUGGCGAAGGCAGGUCUCU